Molecule: ribosomal RNA, 245 nt
Filed under: Hymenobacter arizonensis
Lineage: Bacteria; Pseudomonadati; Bacteroidota; Cytophagia; Cytophagales; Hymenobacteraceae
Description: Siccationidurans arizonensis partial 16S rRNA. Bacterial SSU
Rfam family: Bacterial small subunit ribosomal RNA
Source: RNAcentral
UUACAAUGGAGAGUUUGAUCUUGGCUCAGGAUGAACGCUAGCGGCAGGCCUAAUACAUGCAAGUCGAACGGUUCUUAGCAAUAGGAAUAGUGGCGCACGGGUGCGUAACGCGUAACCAACCUACCCAGUUCUGGGGGAUAGCCCGCCGAAAGGCGGAUUAAUACCGCAUAAGACCAUAGAGUGGCAUCACUUCGUGGUUAAAGAUUUAUUGGAAUUGGAUGGGGUUGCGUGCCAUUAGCUAGUUG